Long non-coding RNA from Limanda limanda (common dab), 765 nucleotides. RefSeq lists it as uncharacterized. Lineage: Eukaryota; Metazoa; Chordata; Actinopteri; Pleuronectiformes; Pleuronectidae. The record is from RefSeq and is a predicted model, not a curated record. The transcript has 3 exons.
AGUACCGUAAAAGAAGAGAGACUGUUUGCUCUGAUUAUCUUAUGUGUUUUGAAUGCACCGCUCAACUCGCAUGGUCCCACGUGGGGUACCUAGUUCUCAGCAGCCAAUCAGAAGCUACGCAGGCCGCGCUCAGCCUGUCGGCUCGGAGAGGAAGUGCAGUCGCGUUGCUCUUCCGGUCUUUUCGGAUCUCGGCCAGGGAAGCGAGGGCAGCUGUGUGUUGAGGUGAAGAGGAAAACCAGAGAAAAAAACCCAGAGUGAAACCUGUGAAAAAGGAAAAAGAGUCGGAGCACUUACCCAGUGGAGGUCCGGAGCCAAGUGGCUGAACGAAGGAGAGUUACGUCGGCUAACUGCUUGCCUGUCCUCCGGAGAGCUGCUACGAGGUUCGGCAUCGGCAUGCUCCACCUUGACACACAGAGCAACGGUCAGGUUUUUUAGAGGACUGGAGAGUCUGAGGUUCAGGACAACUUCCUGCUGUAAAAGAUGGCGAGCCAACUACCCUGAUUGAAGAUUAGCACCGAGGAGAUAUUCACGUACACACUCAUUCACACAAAUAAUACACUCACAUUACACUACAAGGAAUCUUGGAAUCAGGUGAACUUGCAACAACUCCUUUUAUUUUAAGGGCCCCAACAGACAAUUUUGUUUUAAGUGUGCACACUACUUUUUUUAUUUUUCUUACUGUUUGGUAUGAUAUUUUGCAUUUUGUACGAACCAGACAAAUUACUUUGUUCACUGUAAAAUAUAAGAGUGGCUACUCAAUUGUUA